This 837-nucleotide long non-coding RNA is filed under the name Danio rerio (zebrafish). RNAcentral's name for it is "lncRNA si:dkey-146n1.4 (ENSDARG00000096147.3)". The record is from RNAcentral. Lineage: Eukaryota; Metazoa; Chordata; Actinopteri; Cypriniformes; Danionidae.
AGGAAAGGUUCCUUCAUGGGAACUUCUUGGAUUCUCUCUCAGGAGUAGUGGGAUGGGGAACGAAGUCAGAAGAUGUCUGCGUGACAUACAUCUGUAUUGGUGUUCCCAGGGCAGGUGGAUGGGGGCGAUGGAAGGAUGCCUGUUUGUUGUUAAUUGCUGUGAAUGAGGCCCAUGGGAUGAACCAGAAAUGCAGGCCACUGAGCAGAACUGCACUUGGACCUGGGGUCGCCACUGCGGAAUGAAACAACAACUUUAUCCAGCAUUUGUUUUACACAGCAGAUGCCCUUUUAGCUGGAACCCGGUACUGGGAAACAUUCAAGCGACAUUGCUAACCACCGAGCCAACGUUUAUUCUUCCUUCUAAACUCUUCCUUCAAAAUCAGCACAGAAAUGUGGAAAAAGGCUAUUUCAUCCUGACUUAAAGAUUAAAUUUUAUUCUCCUGUUUCUUUCAAAGCCAUUUCUGCACCUCUAGAGGCAAUACCCGCGAUUCCAGAGGUAACAGUUGUAUCCAAACAAGCUUCUGACAUGCUUUCUCCAUCUGCCAUUAUUAAAAAAAUACCCUUACCACUAGUUUUGCCUUCUCAGACUGGCUAAUAACCACAGCGGUACACAGUCACACUGUUAUUAUUUGCCAUUCACAGGGCCUAGUUCUGCUAUAGAGACAGGUGUGAUUUCUCAAGACAGCCAGUUCAGUAAUAUGUAGCUGUAAAAAAAACAAACAAAAACACCUGAAUUCCUAGCAGGACCUUUAAUAGGCGUUGCAGGCUGCUAGAGUUGUGCUUUUCUGAAUAGUGUGUAGCAUACGAGAUAUUUUCUCUCCAAUUAAACUGACAUAUC